This 253-nucleotide ribosomal RNA is filed under the name uncultured bacterium. Its description in RNAcentral is "partial 16S ribosomal RNA". It matches the Rfam family "Archaeal small subunit ribosomal RNA", at positions 474 to 727 of the family's 1478-position model. The record is from RNAcentral.
UACCCGCAGCACAAGUGGUGGUCAUUAUUAUUGGGCCUAAAGCGUCCGUAGCUGGCUUGUUAGAUGCCUGGGUAAAUCGAUGCGCUCAACGUAUCGAACUCCGGGUAGACCGGCAAGCUUGGGGCCGGGAGAGGCGUGAGCUACUCGAGGGGUAGGGGUAAAAUCCUGUAAUCCUUCGGGGAGGACCAGUGGCGAAGGCGUCACGCUAGAACGGCUCCGACAGUGAGGGACGAAGCCCUGGGGCGCAAACCGG